Molecule: ribosomal RNA, 446 nt
Filed under: uncultured bacterium
Lineage: Bacteria
Description: partial 16S ribosomal RNA
Rfam family: Bacterial small subunit ribosomal RNA
Source: RNAcentral
GCCAGACUCCUACGGGAGGCAGCAGUGGGGAAUAUUGCACAAUGGGGGAAACCCUGAUGCAGCGACGCCGCGUGAGCGAUGAAGUAUUUCGGUAUGUAAAGCUCUAUCAGCAGGGAAGAAAAUGACGGUACCUGACUAAGAAGCCCCGGCUAACUACGUGCCAGCAGCCGCGGUAAUACGUAGGGGGCAAGCGUUAUCCGGAUUCACUGGGUGUAAAGGGAGCGUAGACGGCGGCGCAAGUCUGGAGUGAAAGCCCGCGGCCCAACCGUGGGACUGCUCUGGAAACUGUGCGGCUUGAGUGCGGGAGGGGCAGGCGGAAUUCCUAGUGUAGCGGUGAAGUGCGUAGAUAUUAGGAGGAACACCGGUGGCGAAGGCGGCCUGCUGGACUGUGACUGACGUUGAGGCUCGAAAGCGUGGGGAGCAAACAGGAUUAGAUACCCGCGUAU